GAUGAACGCUGGCGGUAUGCCUAACACAUGCAAGUCGUACGAGAGUUUUUAGCUCUAGUGGCGGACGGGUGAGUAACACGUGAGAAUUUGCCUUUAGGAGGGGGAUAACAAUUGGAAACGAAUGCUAAUACCCCAUAUGCUUUUGAGUGAAAUGGAUUUUAUCCGCCUAGAGAGAAGCUCGCGGCUGAUUAGCUUGUUGGUAAGGUAAGAGCUUACCAAGGCGACGAUCAGUAUCUGGUUUGAGAGGACGAUCAGACACACUGGAACUGAGACACGGUCCAGACUCCUACGGGAGGCAGCAGUGGGGAAUUUUCCGCAAUGGGCGAAAGCCUGACGGAGCAAUACCGCGUGAGGGAAGAAUGCCUAUGGGUUGUAAACCUCUUUUGUCAGGGAAGAAACGGUGAUUUCUAAUACAGAUUGCUAAUGACGGUACCUGAAGAAUAAGCACCGGCUAACUACGUG
Molecule: ribosomal RNA, 462 nt
Filed under: uncultured bacterium
Lineage: Bacteria
Description: bacterial SSU rRNA
Rfam family: Bacterial small subunit ribosomal RNA
Source: RNAcentral